GUGGGGAAUAUUGGACAAUGGGGGGAACCCUGAUCCAGCCAUGCCGCGUGUGUGAAGAAGGCCUUUUGGUUGUAAAGCACUUUAAGCGAGGAGGAGGCUACCGAGAUUAAUACUCUUGGAUAGUGGACGUUACUCGCAGAAUAAGCACCGGCUAACUCUGUGCCAGCAGCCGCGGUAAUACAGAGGGUGCAAGCGUUAAUCGGAUUUACUGGGCGUAAAGCGCGCGUAGGUGGCCAAUUAAGUCAAAUGUGAAAUCCCCGAGCUUAACUUGGGAAUUGCAUUCGAUACUGGUUGGCUAGAGUAUGGGAGAGGAUGGUAGAAUUCCAGGUGUAGCGGUGAAAUGCGUAGAGAUCUGGAGGAAUACCGAUGGCGAAGGCAGCCAUCUGGCCUAAUACUGACACUGAGGUGCGAAAGCAUGGGGAGCAAACAGGAUUAGAAACCCGUGUAGCC
Molecule: ribosomal RNA, 450 nt
Filed under: uncultured bacterium
Lineage: Bacteria
Description: partial 16S ribosomal RNA
Rfam family: Bacterial small subunit ribosomal RNA
Source: RNAcentral